UUUAGUUCAUGUCUUUUAUUAAGUCAUACAGUUACUUGUCUUCUGGUUUGUUGAAACAGUAAGUCAGACAACAUUUGCCACAAUAAUGUCUGUCAAAGUGGCAACUAAUUUUGCCAUUCUCAUCCACCUUAUAAUAUUUCAGGAGAGCCAGCUUAACCUUCUUUCUCUUGUGCUUAUUCUUCCUGGGAGUGGUGUAAGACUUCUUCUUCCUUUUCUUAGCACCACCACGAAGUCUCAACACAAGAUGAAGAGUAGACUCCUUUUGAAUAUUGUAGUCAGACAAAGUACGUCCAUCUUCCAACUGCUUGCCAGCAAAGAUCAGUCUCUGCUGAUCAGGAGGAAUUCCUUCCUUAUCCUGGAUCUUGGCC
RNAcentral lists this long non-coding RNA (368 nucleotides) under Homo sapiens (human). RNAcentral describes it as "HSALNT0019259". The record is from RNAcentral. Lineage: Eukaryota; Metazoa; Chordata; Mammalia; Primates; Hominidae.